This 253-nucleotide ribosomal RNA is filed under the name uncultured bacterium. RNAcentral describes it as "partial 16S ribosomal RNA". It matches the Rfam family "Bacterial small subunit ribosomal RNA", at positions 524 to 776 of the family's 1533-position model. The record is from RNAcentral.
GACGAACCGUCCAAACGUUAUUCGGAAUUAUUGGGCUUAAAGGGUGCGUAGGCUGUGCAGUAAGUUGGGUGUGAAAUCCCUCGGCUCAACCGAGAAACUGCGCCGAAUACUGCUGUGCUAGAGGAAGAUAGGGGUAAGCGGAACUGAUGGUGGAGCGGUGAAAUGCGUUGAUAUCAUCAGGAACACCGGUGGCGAAGGCGGCUUACUGGAUCUUUUCUGACGCUGAUGCACGAAAGCUAGGGGAGCGAACGGG